CCCCAGAUGCCUCUCGCCCCACGGUUCGAGCGGCGGCGCAGAGGCACGAACGGCUGCUUCCCGCCCACACGCGGCGGGCUUCAAGCGGGCGAGCAGAGGCUCCUCCAGCACAGGGGUGACCCGCGCAGGUGCCCGCGCUGAAAUCGGGCUGUGGGGUUUGCACCUAGUCAUGGUUCCCUGACUCGGCCACGUUAAUCCCCUGGCUUCACAGCAGCAGGUUACGGGAGAUAGGGGCCCUGCUAAUGAGAGGUAAAAAUGCGCCCUCACAGCUCUGAGUUGGUUCUUGUUCAGCACUGGAAGCCGCUGCGUAGCAGCAGUGUGCUGAGGAGUCCCAUCUGGUCUGCGUUUCUCUAGGCUGUGUUUUUGGAUUUGUUCAGCUCAUUGACUUCUGUUGCCCUCCGCAAGAUGAAGCUUAAGCAGGCAAAUGCUCUUUUCCUCUCCCACUGGAAUCACCACCUUGCUACCUUGGACAUUCACCCAAGUAGGAUGCUGUGAAAAGUCAGCAUGCUUUAAAAUGGGUGGGGGUCUUUUUCUUCAUUGGUUUGUUUUGGGGUUUUGUUUGCUUUCUUUGAUUAAAAGCCAAGAGUUUUCCUGGCAGUAUCAUGUAGAAACUGCAUUUUUGUGCUGCACGGGUGGGACUGCAUUAUCGUCAAGCUCAGCGAAGGUCCUUAAGCGUGCAGCAGCCGUGCGUUUGCUACAACGGGUCACCGCAGGGGAGGGGGAGCCUCUUUACUGUGAUUCCCCAAGUUUUGCUGUGGAAAUCAAGGCACAGUCAGAUGCAGGCAGUAGUAAGUCAAAGCUGUCUGCUUGUGGUAGCUGCCAUCUCUGAACUCUGCUGAUUGAUACGCGAUGCCUUCUGUUCACUCUUUGGUGUUUCUACAACGUUAAGCAUUCAGAUCUUCAACUUUAAAAGCCUACCCCAACUUAACACAGAGCUUCUGAUGCAUCUCUAACUAGGGAGGAUAAUUAGAUGAACCAAGCACAUGACAUUCCACUAAGGAUACUCUCUGUGGCAAAUCUUUGAAAAGCAAGAUAAAUACUCCCACCGGAAUACGCAAAGAAGCAAUAACCAUAUGGGGAUUUGAUACUGAGUAUAUCAGAGAAAUUAAAAAAAUCUAUCUCAGGACAAUUCAACAUAUGGUAGGCAUCAGCAAGCCUUAGACAUUCUCAGCUUGGGCUGUGUGUUCCUUACACAGGCCACAGAAAACAUGCUAAUGCCGGGGAAAAAAUUUGGAAUAUCAAAGCCUGCACGAGUUAAAAGCAGCUCAACAUGUGGGCACGGCAAGUAACCCGUGGAGCAACACGAACAGUGUAGUACAAUGCAAGCUGAUGCUUCUAACAGCUGGUAACAGACACAAGGAUGCAGACACUUGAGUUCCCACCGCCUGCAGCUUGGCCUUCUGAGCACCAGCAUUUGCGUUACAAAGGAAAAAGUAAUCAGGCCUUUCUGCAGGAAAAUAGGUCAUUACACGAAGGGAUAGUUAGAAUUUCUCUUUGCCUGAGUCAUCUACUAUGCUGAUCGCCAUGGCUUCUGAAAAGGGACUUUAAACAACUAUUGAACUGCUGGCGGUUUUCUCACCCUCCCCUUUCCCACCUCAUCUCUUGGGAAUUGCUUCCUGAUGCUUUCUCUUCUGUCCGGGACCACCAACAGGUCAUGUAUGUUUUAUAGAACUCUAUCUUCAAUUGAGGCAUCAGACACCGGUCCCUGCUGACAGAGCAGCAGAUGGGUGACAACAUCCCCGAGAGUUCCCUCUCUUUCUGGAGGCAGUUCACAGAUUCCCAGAGUGGUCAGAUUUGUUUUGUAAUGCACUGUCUAUCACUCGGUGAAAGCGAGUUAGCAGUUUUCCAGGUAAUUCCCCCACCUCCCUGCUAACAGCUCUGAUAGGGGCCCCUGGAGAAUUAACCAUUAAGCAAACAUCUGUGUACUUCCUAUCUGUCAGCAUCUCAACAGCUUCAGAAGCGGAGGCUGACAUGAAGGACCUGCCAGGUUUACCAGAUCCCAAAUUCUGAAGCAUCUGAGAUGAGGAGGAACUCUGAGUCAACAGUGAUAAAGAUCUAGCGAGAUACCGAACUGCACAAAGUAGCAAACUGCUGUUUCCCUAAGUGUAUUACGUUUACCUUGAUACAAUGUAUGUCAAUCUUUACAAUAGAGAUUUCCCUUGAGAACCUACUGGGAUUAGUAUUGUCAUUUCUCUAGU
Long non-coding RNA from Pogoniulus pusillus (Red-fronted tinkerbird), 2198 nucleotides. RefSeq lists it as uncharacterized. The record is from RefSeq and is a predicted model, not a curated record. The transcript has 2 exons. NCBI's taxonomy places the organism in Eukaryota, Metazoa, Chordata, Aves, Piciformes, Lybiidae.